RNAcentral lists this long non-coding RNA (1404 nucleotides) under Equus asinus (donkey). RNAcentral describes it as "lncRNA (ENSEASG00005036039.1)". Lineage: Eukaryota; Metazoa; Chordata; Mammalia; Perissodactyla; Equidae. The record is from RNAcentral.
AGUCACCACAGUCCUCCAUUGUUUAUCACUCAUCCUGUGCAUCACUCAUGGGGAAAGAGCAGCCAAUCAGCAUUCAGACUUUCCAAAGAGGAAACUGACAACUUGGAUCCCAGCAGUUGUUUUAUUAUCCCCCCAGAGAGUGCGUGCAGUUGAAGUUUCUCAUGGAAAGUCAAUCAGCGAAAUAAACAAAAUGCCUACAGAAUGAUGUCAAUGGCACCACUCAUCAGAUAGCAAGCUGCAUUAUGAAGUAACAGAUGAGGUCUUUCCGGCCUUGAAUGCCUUCUGCUCAACCUUUGUCUGCACUUUAAGAGCAACUUCAGUCUUCAUCUCAGUCAGGAUGCCCUCCAUGUCAACAGCAUAUGGUGACUAGUUAAGGGGUAGACGUGCGCCACCUGGCUCAGCCUUGAGAAUUUUGCUUGAGUUGCUGAGACAAAGAUAUGUGCUUUCCACUGGGAUAUAACUGUGGUAGAAUAAAGGAAAGACUCCCAAAAGCCACCUUUGCAACCCCAGUGAAGAGUCUAAUGGAGGGUUGACGCCAACACAGAGAAAACCAAGUCCAGGGAUGGUGAGAGACUGUGUGCGCCCCUGGAUCCAGGUACUGAAUGCUGGCUAGGUCCAUCCCUGGACUUUUCAGGGGGUGAGGGAUGAGGAAGGAACAGACUGUGAUGACUAUCACCAUUUGAGUUUUACUCUGCUAUAUGCCGCUCUUCUAUCAAGUAACCCGAGGAAACACCUUAUAGGAAUAGCUCUCAAGACGUGGUUCCUGGGCCAGCAGCACCUGGUAGCUCGUUAGAGAUGGUCAACGCUGGAGCAUGAGGAAAGCAAAUUGGGUUGAACCUCUUCACAGGACCUGCUUCCUGAGAUCUUCUCGCCAGCAGCCUGCAGUGUGGGCUUUCUGAGAACAGAGGGCAUGAGGAAACGCCACAGCCCCAGAGACGUUCUCUGCCUGCAGGAUUUUCAGAAAAUGAAUGACCUGCCUCAUCCAAGUGGGCAGACUUCAUGACUGCAGUUUCCACAUAGAUUCUCGGAGCAGAAGACAUCUCAUCAUCUGGUAGAGGAGUCAUUAUCUUUACAAAUCUGUAGAACAAAUCAUCAAAUAUCAGAAGUUUCCCAAGACCAGACAACAAUGGGAAAAGACGAAAAUGCUCUUAUUCCUGUUCAAGGUAAAGGAAUAUGGAGGUAAACGGAAACAGUGAUAACAUUUAAAGCAAAGGCUAUUGAGAUGCCUUCAAUAAUCACUAGCCGGGAGCUCACUCACAAGAUAAGAAGGAAAAAUCUGUGCUGCUCACGGUCCUCUCGGUGUCUUGGUCCAGUGGAAAGGAAUUUGAUGAAGCUCAUAAGAGGCAGUGUCCUGCCAAAUUAUCAGACACACAGGGAAUUCAAUAAUAAACAUUUUUCAAACCA